RNAcentral lists this ribosomal RNA (547 nucleotides) under uncultured marine eukaryote. RNAcentral describes it as "bacterial SSU rRNA". It matches the Rfam family "Eukaryotic small subunit ribosomal RNA", at positions 785 to 1303 of the family's 1831-position model. The record is from RNAcentral.
CUUUUUGUUGGGUUUUACCCGAGAAGGAAUAAUUCAGGCCACGGUGUCUGAGUUGGGUUUCCCGAGGCUUCGGCUGAGGCCCCAAUUAGGCCGUGUCCUUACGGGAUCAAUAGGGACUGACGGGGUCGUACGUACUUCCGCGUCAGAGGUGAAAUUCUAAGAUCGCGGGAAGACGAACUUCUGCGAAACAUUCGACAAGAAUGUCUGCAUUAAUCAAGAACGAGAGUGUGGGGAUCGAAGAUGAUCAGAUACCGUCGUAGUCCACUACUGUAAACAAUGCCGUCUCAGGAUUGAUAAGUGAACUGAAUGACUUUCACAGAACUAACCCCUGAAACGAGAAAUCAAAUAUUAUGGGUUCAGGGGGGAGUACAUUCGCAAGGCUGAAACUUAAAGGGAUUGACGGAAUGACACCACAAGGCGUGGAGCAUGCGGCUUAAUUUGACUCAACACGGUGAAUUUUACUAGGGCAGGACAAUGUAAGGAUUUACAGAUUGAUAGCUCUUUCUCGAUCCAUUCUGUGGUUGUGCAUGGCCGUUCUUAGUUGGUG